Molecule: long non-coding RNA, 2167 nt
Filed under: Podarcis lilfordi (Lilford's wall lizard)
Lineage: Eukaryota; Metazoa; Chordata; Lepidosauria; Squamata; Lacertidae
Source: RNAcentral
GGUGGCUUGGGACCUCAGCUAAAGUCUCAACAUGAUGAUACAUUCUUUUCCCCAGAAUGCUUUCUCAUUUGUCAGUGGCUGCAAGGCGUCUUAUUAAUCUAGAGCAGAGAUGUUGGUAGAAACAUCAAAGCUGGAAGACUUUUAGAGUGACACAUUGAAAGGUAAAAGAGAAGGUUUUAUUUGCCAGGCCUGCUUAGAGGAGCAGAAGUUUGCCUCUGCCAGCAUGCCCUUGAACCACCCCAGGCAUACCCUCUUUGGAGCCCUAGUGAUGUCAAAACUCUGGAGUCUGUUAGGCAAGGGAUAUGUAAGUUGCUGCAAUGGCAGGAACAAGGGGUCCAACAUUGGAUGUCCUUCUCUGAUGUCAGAGAAGAACCUCUGAUCCACCCUAUCAGCCCCCCCCAAGUGUCCCCAGUCCCUAUCCUCUAGGGACAGUCACAGAUUUACAGAAGCCAUCUUGGUUUCUGAUUUGAUCCUGGGAUAUCCCCAUUUUUAUUUAUUUUUAUUUUAUUUUAUUUUUAAAUUGCAUUUAUAUACCGCCCUAUACCUGGAGGUCUCAGGGCAGUUCACAGAAAAGAUUACAAUAUAUAAAGUCAAAAUAAGAACAACGACCCAAUAACACACACCCCCCUCAGAAAAGAGCCACAUUUUAAAAGGGUAUAGGAUGUCGGAUGUCAAUCCGGUCAACCAAAGGCCUGGUUAAAAAGGAACUUUUUCGCCUGGUGCCUAAAGGUGUAUAAUGAAGGCUCCAGGCCAAUUUCUCUGGGAAAGAAGUUCCUUAAGAACUUUUCCUCAAGACGACCCUAUUUUCAUCAGAAAAAUGUUGGAGGGUAGGUCAUAUGGUCCCUGAGACACCUUCUAAGGGGCCACUAGACUGUAGCAUCUCCUUUUACAGUUAGAAAUUCUUGCAGGUUGCCAGUAAUGACCAAGUUUUACCAAAUAACACAACACAGGGAAAGAAUGCCUUUUCUCCCAGGCUGAAGACAUUGCUGUUUCAUAAACUGAAAUCAGCUAAGCUACGGAGAAUUUAGAAUAUUUCCUUUAUAUGAAGAACACAAUGUAUUUUCCUCAUGAAAACUCACUUAAUUAACAUGCUUAUGAAUAUGUUAGAUGAAACAGGACUGCAUUUAUGCAGACAUCACUGAGAAUCACGCAUCUUUUACAAGGCCUGUCAUGACUCUGUUUUCGCACUCGGCUCACAUGCUUCAGCGCGUCUUUAAAUUAUCUAGGGCACGUCACAUGACACCUAAGUGUGAAACAAGCAUUUUCUCCUCCCAGUACCAUUAUUUUCAUUUUCAAAACACUAAUUUGCAACAAAUGGCAGGAGCGGAAAAGAUGUGCAGCAUCAUGAGGUUUUGGCUCAGGCAUUUUAAUUUGGAAAGUGAGUUGAGAAUAAUGUUCGAUGAGCUCUCAUCAUCCAAAGCGCUAGUAAAAGCUGUACAAUGAGGAAUUUUAAAAAAACCUAAAAAUUAAAAAGAAAGAUGGCAUGGGUAUAAUUUGCACAGAGAGACGUUUGUUUGCAUGUAGUCCUCCUAACUAAAGCUAUCAUUAACCUAUACAUUUAUUAAGUGCCACUGCCUAAGGAUGCCAUUCAGUAUUUGUAAGCAAAUGUGGGGGUAAUAUGUACACAAGAUCUAUGAAAAUAAUAGCUCAUAGCCAGAGAUGAAAGGACACCAUGACAGUCAUGGAAAAUUGAAACAAGGUCUAAACCUCUUCAGGGCAUGUUAUUGAUAUUUUGUAAGGGUUACAUAAAGGGAAGCAUGAAAGAGAAGUGUGGGAAAAGAGAAUCCUAAAUUGAUAUGGAACAAUAAACCCUUUGGAAGGCAAUAGAAGCUGCAGUUUGGAUACGGCACAGACAAUAUGAUCUAUAGUAAUUCAGUAAUUAGAUACAUGAAAGCAAGAGAGGCCCAUAUAAUUACAUUUUGGAGGCAGUGAGGAAAACAAUUGUUUGUCAGGGCUGAUAGAGAUUUUCAUUGUCUCUCAAUUACAUAACUGUUUCUCAUUUUUAUUUCUGCAGCCUUGUAGCUCCUGAGUUAUGAAGCCAAAGGAGCAGCUCUUGUCUACAGGGCUCAAAAUUAAAGGACUCUGGUGAAUAAACACUUCGGAAAGCAAGGAGAGAGAAAGAGCAGGAGAGAUAAUUUCCAGACUUUACUUGCAACAUCAAUGCCAG